UUAAAAUUUGAUUGCAGAAUCGGAGGUCAAGCCAACCACUCAAAAACCCACCUGUGUGUUGUCACCGUUGCUUCAGUUAUCGUGUCCAUCGUCACCGCCGCUUCAGCUGCCAUGUUGAUUGUUGUCAUCGCAGUUUGAGCUGAGAGCAUUGUUUCGCCUACUCCCUUGCACUGCUGCUUCUUUCUCCUUCUUCUUCGCGUGUUUGGUCUCCUCGUGUCUUUGCGUCUUUCACAAAACCAGCCAGAGAAUCUUCUUCUGGACUCAAAUGCUAUUCUGAAAGUUACAGAUUUUGGAUUAAGUACGUAUGCACAAGUAAGAUUAUAUAUAUGCACACACACACGCAUAUCUGCCAUACAAUUAGCUUAUGCAUGUGCAUGUUAUGAAUUUCUUCUGAUUUGUCCAUGAGAAACUAUAAGUAUUGAAACUUGAAAGCAUCCCCUAUUAGCUUCUACGACCUCCCAUCCUCGAAUACGUGGUCGCUCUGCAAGGGCGGCAGCGCCGCGCGAGCUCGGAGGACUGGAGGAGCUCUUGGAGGCGCCGCGCGACAUCCCCUAUUAGGAUUUUGUUACUUGAGGAAGCCCUGCAUAAGUGUCAUACUUAAGUUGCUGAGACUAUUUAUUAUUUUUUAAACAAGUUUUGAAAACAACGAAUCUGAUUGCAUAGGAAGUUCAAAGCUAUGAAACAUCGACACUGACACGGAUACCGGACACGACACGGACACGGACAUGGACAUGUGGACAUCUGUCAAACACAUAAAAUUCAACCCUGACACGGGCGUCGGUGUCGGUGUCGUGUCGGACACCGGACACGGCAAGGCGCUGGGGCGUCCGUGCUUCAUAGGUUCAAAGACCUUCUUGCCUAUAAAUGAAUUCUUCAAAGGCAGUUCUCUUGUCCUGAGGUUUCAUGUUCUCACUUUUAAGGGUUAAGUGAUUUGAGGAUUCUGAGAACAUGACUAGGCUGGUUAAAUAUGAUUCAAUUGGAGAUAUUUUCUAUUUUUUUUUCCUUUUUUUUUUUCUUCCUUUGGAACAUUGAUCUCAUGAUUAACGAUGUGGGUAUUGCUGGAUUAAAAAAAAAUGUGUAGAUGGGAUUUGUUUCGAAAAUCUUCCUGAGAUUAUUCAAGAAAAACUCCACCUUUCCCAUUUGUCACCCAGGAUGAAUUUUCUAAGCAAUUGUAGAUUCAAUUGUGAUUCUCAUGACAAAAAAUUAUCAAGAUUUAAUUGAUGUUGAUGAGAAAAACUGAAA
Glycine soja is the source of this 1242-nucleotide long non-coding RNA. RefSeq lists it as uncharacterized. Lineage: Eukaryota; Viridiplantae; Streptophyta; Magnoliopsida; Fabales; Fabaceae. The transcript has 6 exons. The record is from RefSeq and is a predicted model, not a curated record.